This 497-nucleotide ribosomal RNA is filed under the name uncultured bacterium. RNAcentral describes it as "partial 16S ribosomal RNA". It matches the Rfam family "Bacterial small subunit ribosomal RNA", at positions 28 to 507 of the family's 1533-position model. The record is from RNAcentral.
GAUGAACGCUGGCGGCGUGCCUAAUACAUGCAAGUCGAGCGAACAGAUGAGGAGCUUGCUCCUCUGACGUUAGCGGCGGACGGGUGAGUAACACGUGGAUAACCUACCUAUAAGACUGGGAUAACUUCGGGAAACCGGAGCUAAUACCGGAUAAUAUAUUGAACCGCAUGGUUCAAUAGUGAAAGACGGUUUUGCUGUCACUUAUAGAUGGAUCCGCGCCGCAUUAGCUAGUUGGUAAGGUAACGGCUUACCAAGGCAACGAUGCGUAGCCGACCUGAGAGGGUGAGCGGCCACACUGGAACUGAGACACGGUCCAGACUCCUACGGGAGGCAGCAGUAGGGAAUCUUCCGCAAUGGGCGAAAGCCUGACGGAGCAACGCCGCGUGAGUGAUGAAGGUCUUCGGAUCGUAAAACUCUGUUAUUAGGGAAGAACAAAUGUGUAAGUAACUAUGCACGUCUUGACGGUACCUAAUCAGAAAGCCACGGCUAACUACGUG